CUUCUCGGUAGUCCCCUCUAGGAGUGAGUAGGAUGAUGGACCUAGCAGAAGCAAAUGAUUCCCAUGGGUCCCAGGCUACGGGCCUGGGCAGAUUUCACCCACAGGCCUGGAGAAGCAGAGCAUCAGGUCUUGAAAGCAAAAGACAAGAGGAAACCAGCCACCUUCCUGAACUAACUAAACCCCAGCCUUGACCAUGACUGAGACAAGCAAGACAUGAGCAUCACCUGGCCAGGAGGGUCCUCAGAGCGCAGAUUAAGAGCAGGAGGUCUGAGUUCAGCUCAUGGGGGUCAAACCCCAUAACUAGCUGGGGGAUGCCGGGCAAACUUCCUUCCUUGUUAAGUUUCAGUUCCCUCUUUUGUAUGAUAAGAUUUCGUGAUGCUUCUUCACAAGACUGUUUGGAAGAUUAAAUGAAACAAUUCAUGGAAACAGAAUGCCUGACACUGAGUGGGUCCUCAGUAUUGGCUUUAAAUACAACCUGAAAUAGAAGAAAAUAGGAGCAUAAACUGAGAGAACCCAAGAGGAAAGGCGUGGAUUCUCUGAUCAUUCAAGUGUGCAAGUGCCCCAUCUGAAUCAUUUUGCUGCUAAAAACACCCUCGUCUCACAGUCCUUCACCACCCAGUUGCACUAGACUGAGGGUUUGAGAUGGCAAGAGCAAUGCUGUGUGGGCCUCAGGAAGUCAAGCAUAUCCAGAACCGGCCACGUAGACCUGGUGUGGCUGUUUUACAUGGGCUCAGACAGACCUGCCAUUAGGAGCAUUCCAGACCAGAGCUCAGCUGCUCCGAAGAGCAAUAAUUAAAUCAGCAGACUGUGACGUCUGCUUUGGGUUCCUUUCACACCUGUCUGUCAGCGGGAUUACUGGCUAAAAGAAAGUCUUGGCUGGGCCCAGACUGGGAACGAGACCACCAGAAUUCCAGAGGAUCUGCUUCCAGAACUUACAAGUGGGUCUGGGUGGCACAAAGCUGGACCACUGAAGCUACUGUGAUGAGCAGCCAAGAUGCCCUUAUAGGGCUAAAGGACUUAUUCCCUCAGCUGCUACAAGCACUGCCAGCUGAGAACCCCCUUCAGCAUCGCCUUGGUGGUAGAGGGUUGCCUCACCCCAAAUCACACCCUCUCCCUGGGACAACUUGCACCCAACUUGACUUGACUCAGGAGGAUAACCCAACUUGACUCAGGUGACUGUACCAUCACCACCACUCAGGAUGACUCUGAAGGGCUGAGCUUGCCACGGGGUUGGUUCAGUUGACAAGGGCUUUGUUACCACUGCACCUGCCCUGACUUUCCCCUCAGCCCAGUCCUAAUCCUUCCUUCUGCAGAUGUCCAUCCCAAGAGCACCCCCUAAUCCACCUUCCACUCUGCAUGCUGGUCCCUCCUCCGUCUGGUAUACUGGCAUACAGCCAAGAACCCCAGCACACGUCUGGUAAAAUAAAUACACCUCCUGAAGUUUGUUCACUCUGUAUGUAUUACUGACUGAUACUAAAAACUUAAAUAAUAUUAUUAGAGCAGAUUGAAAUGAUCCCCUCCUCCGUAUACACCAACCUCAGGGAGAAGCCCUGGAGUCACCUCUAGGAAGCCCUUGGGGGUUCUGAAAACCAAGAGUUUAGGUCCUCACUCAAGGCAGAAGGGAAUCCCACAGGGACACUGGCCCAGUGCCAGAAUGUCGGCAUCUGACCUCGCUUCUGUUCAAUGAGCUGAGGCGCCCACCUUCUCCUCUCACUGCCUCACUCUCAUCCAUCUGAACUACCCGGCCUCCUCCCCAGGUGGUAUAAGAGAGCAAGUGAGAUCUUCAAAUGUUGUAUUUGGAAGGACAUUUUAAAUGGUAAAGGGCUAUACAAAAAUAAGGGAGUAUCAUUUAGCAGAUGGCCCA
This is a long non-coding RNA of Bos taurus (domestic cattle), 1864 nucleotides long. The record is from Ensembl. Lineage: Eukaryota; Metazoa; Chordata; Mammalia; Artiodactyla; Bovidae.